This 74-nucleotide transfer RNA is filed under the name Candidatus Saccharimonadota bacterium. RNAcentral's name for it is "tRNA-Gln". It matches the Rfam family "tRNA". From Rfam's summary of the family: Transfer RNA (tRNA) molecules are approximately 80 nucleotides in length. Their secondary structure includes four short double-helical elements and three loops (D, anti-codon, and T loops). RNAcentral also lists the same sequence under 1 other name. The record is from RNAcentral. Lineage: Bacteria; Candidatus Saccharimonadota.
UCGGGGAUCGUCUAGUGGUAGGACGCUGGGUUUUGGUCCCAGUAGCCGGGGUUCGAAUCCCUGUCCCCGAGCCA